RNAcentral lists this ribosomal RNA (253 nucleotides) under uncultured bacterium. RNAcentral's name for it is "partial 16S ribosomal RNA". It matches the Rfam family "Bacterial small subunit ribosomal RNA", at positions 524 to 776 of the family's 1533-position model. The record is from RNAcentral.
UACGUAGGGUCCGAGCGUUGUCCGGAAUUAUUGGGCGUAAAGGGCUCGUAGGCGGUUUGUCGCGUCUGCUGUGAAAAUCCAGGGCUUAACCCUGGACCUGCAGUGGGUACGGGCAGACUAGAGUGCGGUAGGGGAGAUCGGAAUUCCUGGUGUAGCGGUGAAAUGCGCAGAUAUCAGGAGGAACACCGGUGGCGAAGGCGGAUCUCUGGGCCGUAACUGACGCUGAGGAGCGAAAGCAUGGGGAGCGAACAGG